RNAcentral lists this ribosomal RNA (253 nucleotides) under uncultured bacterium. RNAcentral describes it as "partial 16S ribosomal RNA". It matches the Rfam family "Bacterial small subunit ribosomal RNA", at positions 524 to 776 of the family's 1533-position model. The record is from RNAcentral.
UACGUAGGUGACAAGCGUUGUCCGGAGUUACUGGGCGUAAAGCGCGCGCAGGCGGCCGCCCUUGCCCGCCGUGAAAGCCCCCGGCUCAACCGGGGAGGGUCGGCGGGGACGGGGCGGCUUGGGGCCGGCAGGGGCCGGUGGAAUCCCCGGUGUAGUGGUGAAAUGCGUAGAGAUCGGGGGGAACACCCGUGGCGAAGGCGGCCGGCUGGGCCGGGCCCGACGCUGAGGCGCGAAGGCGUGGGGAGCGAACGGG